GUGCCUACGGGACGCAGCAGUAGGGAAUCUUUCACAAUGGGCGAAAGCCUGAUGGAGCAACGCCGCGUGAGGGAAGAAGGCCCUGCGGGUCGCAGACCUCUUUGGACGGGGAGCAAGGCCGCCGACGUGUCGGCGGAAGGAGAGUACCCGUAGAACAAGCAUCGGCUAACUCCGUGCCAGCAGCCGCGGUAAUACGGAGGAUGCGAGCGUUAUCCGGAUUUAUUGGGUUUAAAGGGUGCGCAGGCGGCACGGCAAGCCGGCGGUCAAAUCGCGGAGCUCAACCCCGCCCAGCCGUCGGAACUGCC
This 305-nucleotide ribosomal RNA is filed under the name uncultured bacterium. Its description in RNAcentral is "bacterial SSU rRNA". It matches the Rfam family "Bacterial small subunit ribosomal RNA", at positions 335 to 637 of the family's 1533-position model. The record is from RNAcentral.